AUUGAACGCUGGCGGCAUGCCUAACACAUGCAAGUCGAGCGGAGCUGCGGACGGGUGCGUAAUGCCUAGGAAUCUGCCUGGUAGUUGGGGAUAACGUCCGGAAACGGGCGCUAAUACCGCAUCCUAUCAGAUGAGCCUAGGUCGUAUUAGCUAGUUGGUGUGGUAAAGGCCUACCAAGGCGCCGAUCCGUAACUGGGCUGAGUGGAUGAUCAGUCACACUGGAACUGAGACACGGUCCAGACUCCUACGGGAGGCAGCAGUGGGGAAUAUUGGACAAUGGGCGAAAGCCUGAUCCAGCCAUGCCGCGUGUAUGAAGAAGGUCUUCGGAUUGUAAAGCACUUUAAGUUGGGAGGCGUUACCAACAGAAUAAGCACCGGCUAACUUCGUGCCAGCAGCCGCGGUAAUAC
Molecule: ribosomal RNA, 407 nt
Filed under: uncultured bacterium
Lineage: Bacteria
Description: partial 16S ribosomal RNA
Rfam family: Bacterial small subunit ribosomal RNA
Source: RNAcentral